AGCUGCUUUGGGACUACAAUUCCCAUCAUCCCUGACCACUGGUCCUGUUAGCUAGGGGUGAUGGGAGUUGUAGUCCCAAAACAUCU
This 86-nucleotide microRNA precursor is filed under the name Podarcis lilfordi (Lilford's wall lizard). The record is from RNAcentral. Lineage: Eukaryota; Metazoa; Chordata; Lepidosauria; Squamata; Lacertidae.